GACGAACGCUGGCGGCGUGCUUAACACAUGCAAGUCGAACGGAAAGGCCCUGCUUUUGUGGGGUGCUCGAGUGGCGAACGGGUGAGUAACACGUGAGUAACCUGCCCUUGACUUUGGGAUAACUUCAGGAAACUGGGGCUAAUACCGGAUAGGAGCUCCUGCUGCAUGGUGGGGGUUGGAAAGUUUCGGCGGUUGGGGAUGGACUCGCGGCUUAUCAGCUUGUUGGUGGGGUAGUGGCUUACCAAGGCUUUGACGGGUAGCCGGCCUGAGAGGGUGACCGGCGACAUGGGGACUGAGAUACGGCCCAGACUCCUACGGGAGGCAGCAGUGGGGAAUAUUGCACAAUGGGCGGAAGCCUGAUGCAGCAACGCCGCGUGCGGGAUGACGGCCUUCGGGUUGUAAACCGCUUUCGCCUGUGACGAAGCGUGAGUGACGGUAAUGGGUAAGGAAGCACCGGCUAACUACGUG
This 468-nucleotide ribosomal RNA is filed under the name uncultured bacterium. Its description in RNAcentral is "partial 16S ribosomal RNA". It matches the Rfam family "Bacterial small subunit ribosomal RNA", at positions 28 to 507 of the family's 1533-position model. The record is from RNAcentral.